This 468-nucleotide ribosomal RNA is filed under the name uncultured bacterium. Its description in RNAcentral is "partial 16S ribosomal RNA". It matches the Rfam family "Bacterial small subunit ribosomal RNA", at positions 28 to 507 of the family's 1533-position model. The record is from RNAcentral.
GACGAACGCUGGCGGCGUGCUUAACACAUGCAAGUCGAACGGAAAGGCCCUGCUUUUGUGGGGUGCUCGAGUGGCGAACGGGUGAGUAACACGUGAGUAACCUGCCCUUGACUUUGGGAUAACUUCAGGAAACUGGGGCUAAUACCGGAUAGGAGCUCCUGCUGCAUGGUGGGGGUUGGAAAGUUUCGGCGGUUGGGGAUGGACUCGCGGCUUAUCAGCUUGUUGGUGGGGUAGUGGCUUACCAAGGCUUUGACGGGUAGCCGGCCUGAGAGGGUGACCGGCCACAUUGGGACUGAGAUACGGCCCAGACUCCUACGGGAGGCAGCAGUGGGGAAUAUUGCACAAUGGGCGGAAGCCUGAUGCAGCAACACCGCGUGCGGGAUGACGGCCUUCGGGGUGUAAACCGCUUUCGCCUGUGACGAAGCGUGAGUGACGGUAAUGGGUAAAGAAGCACCGGCUAACUACGUG